AACAGACGCUGGCGGCGUGCCUAAUACAUGCAAGUCGAACGGGGAAAGCUUUCGGGUGAGUACUAGUGGCGCACGGGUGAGGAACGCGUGGAUAAUCUGCCUUAGAGUGGGGGAUAACUAGUCGAAAGAUUAGCUAAUACCGCAUAAGACCACGAGAGCUGCGGCUUUUGAGGUCAAAGGUUUUUCGCUCUAAGAUGAGUCCGCGUAAGAUUAGCUAGUUGGUGAGGUAACGGCUCACCAAGGCGACGAUCUUUAACUGGUCUGAGAGGAUGAUCAGUCACACUGGAACUGAGACACGGUCCAGACUCCUACGGGAGGCAGCAGUAGGGAAUAGUGCACAAUGGAGGAAACUCUGAUGCAGCGACGCCGCGUGAGUGAUGAAGGCCUUCGGGUCGUAAAGCUCUGUCGCAGGGGAAUAACACAAUGAAGGUACCCUGUAAGAAAGGAUCGGCUAACUUCGUG
RNAcentral lists this ribosomal RNA (462 nucleotides) under uncultured bacterium. Its description in RNAcentral is "partial 16S ribosomal RNA". It matches the Rfam family "Bacterial small subunit ribosomal RNA", at positions 29 to 507 of the family's 1533-position model. The record is from RNAcentral.